RNAcentral lists this ribosomal RNA (468 nucleotides) under uncultured bacterium. RNAcentral describes it as "partial 16S ribosomal RNA". It matches the Rfam family "Bacterial small subunit ribosomal RNA", at positions 28 to 507 of the family's 1533-position model. The record is from RNAcentral.
GACGAACGCUGGCGGCGUGCUUAACACAUGCAAGUCGAACGGAAAGGCCCUGCUUUUGUGGGGUGCUCGAGUGGCGAACGGGUGAGUAACACGUGAGUAACCUGCCCUUGACUUUGGGAUAACUUCAGGAGACUGGGGCUAAUACCGGAUAGGAGCUCCUGCUGCAUGGUGGGGGUUGGAAAGUUUCGGCGGUCGGGGAUGGACUCGCGGCUUAUCAGCUUGUUGGUGGGGUAGUGGCUUACCAAGGCUUUGACGGGUAGCCGGCCUGAGAGGGUGACCGGCCACAUUGGGACUGAGAUACGGCCCAGACUCCUACGGGAGGCAGCAGUGGGGAAUAUUGCACAAUGGGCGGAAGCCUGAUGCAGCAACGCCGCGUGCGGGAUGACGGCCUUCGGGUUGUAAACCGCUUUCGCCUGUGACGAAGCGUGAGUGACGGUAAUGGGUAAAGAAGCACCGGCUAACUACGUG